CCCCUAGAUGUUCUGGGCCGCACGCGCGCUACACUGAACAGUUCAACAAGUCUUAACCUUGGCCGAUAGGUCUGGGUAAUCUUUGAACGCUGUUCGUGAUUGGGAUAGACCUUUGCAAUUAUGGGUCUUCUACGAGGAAUUCCUAGUAAACGCAAGUCAUCAGCUUGCAUUGAUUACGUCCCUGCCCUUUGUACACACCGCCCGUCGCUCCUACCGAUUGAAUGGUCCGGUGAAGCCUCCGGAUUGGCGCGCACCUCGGUGCCGCCGAGAAGUUGGCUAAACCUUACCAUUUAGAGGAAGGUGAANUCGUAACA
This 314-nucleotide ribosomal RNA is filed under the name uncultured eukaryote. RNAcentral's name for it is "partial 18S ribosomal RNA". It matches the Rfam family "Eukaryotic small subunit ribosomal RNA", at positions 1470 to 1796 of the family's 1831-position model. The record is from RNAcentral.